UACGUAGGGUGCGAGCGUUAAUCGGAAUUACUGGGCGUAAAGCGUGCGCAGGCGGCUAUUUAAGCCAGACGUGAAAUCCCCGGGCUUAACCUGGGAAUUGCGUUUGGAACUGGAUGGCUAGAGUACGGCAGAGGGGGGUGGAAUUCCACGUGUAGCAGUGAAAUGCGUAGAGAUGUGGAGGAACACCGAUGGCGAAGGCAGCCCCCUGGGCCUGUACUGACGCUCAUGCACGAAAGCGUGGGGAG
This 245-nucleotide ribosomal RNA is filed under the name uncultured bacterium. RNAcentral describes it as "partial 16S ribosomal RNA". It matches the Rfam family "Bacterial small subunit ribosomal RNA", at positions 524 to 768 of the family's 1533-position model. The record is from RNAcentral.